UGCCAGCCGCCGCGGUAAUACGGAGGUUGCAAGCGUUGUUCGGAUUUACUGGGCGUAAAGGGAGCGCAGGCGGCUAGGUUAGUUUGAAGUGAAAUCCCGGGGCUCAACCUCGGAACUGCUUUGAAUACUGCCUAGCUUGAGUAUGUGAGAGGUGAGCGGAAUUUCAGGUGUAGCGGUGAAAUGCGUAGAUAUCUGAAGGAACAUCGGUGGCGAAAGCGGCUCACUGGCACAAAACUGACGCUGAGGCUCGAAAGCGUGGGGAGCGAACGGGAUUAGAUA
Molecule: ribosomal RNA, 279 nt
Filed under: uncultured bacterium
Lineage: Bacteria
Description: partial 16S ribosomal RNA
Rfam family: Bacterial small subunit ribosomal RNA
Source: RNAcentral